Molecule: transfer RNA, 68 nt
Filed under: Callimerus chinensis
Lineage: Eukaryota; Metazoa; Arthropoda; Insecta; Coleoptera; Cleridae
Description: tRNA-Ser
Source: RNAcentral
AGUUUAUGAACUUGAAUAAGUUUAUAUUUUGAAAAUAUAAGAAAGAAGUAUCAAUCUUCUAUAAACUU